RNAcentral lists this ribosomal RNA (429 nucleotides) under bacterium. RNAcentral describes it as "partial 16S ribosomal RNA". It matches the Rfam family "Bacterial small subunit ribosomal RNA", at positions 355 to 776 of the family's 1533-position model. The record is from RNAcentral.
UGGGGAAUUUUGGACAAUGGGCGAAAGCCUGAUCCAGCAAUGCCGCGUGUGUGAAGAAGGCCUUCGGGUUGUAAAGCACUUUUGUCCGGAAAGAAAUGGCUCUGGUUAAUACCUGGGGUCGAUGACGGUACCGGAAGAAUAAGGACCGGCUAACUACGUGCCAGCAGCCGCGGUAAUACGUAGGGUCCGAGCGUUAAUCGGAAUUACUGGGCGUAAAGCGUGCGCAGGCGGUUGUGCAAGACCGAUGUGAAAUCCCCGAGCUUAACUUGGGAAUUGCAUUGGUGACUGCACGGCUAGAGUGUGUCAGAGGGGGGUAGAAUUCCACGUGUAGCAGUGAAAUGCGUAGAGAUGUGGAGGAAUACCGAUGGCGAAGGCAGCCCCCUGGGAUAACACUGACGCUCAUGCACGAAAGCGUGGGGAGCAAACAGG